GUUAGGAAUAUUGGACAAUAGGCGCAAGCCUGAUCCAGCCAUGCCGCGUGAGUGAUGAAGGCCUUCGGGUUGUAAAGCUCUUUAGUCCACGAAUAUAAUGACUGUAGUGGAAGAAUAAGCCCCGGCUAACUUCGUGCCAGCAGCCGCGGUAAUACGAAGGGGGCGAGUGUUAUUCGGAAUCACUGGGCGUAAAGCGUGCGUAGGCUGUUUUGUAAGUCAGAAGUGAAAGCCCAGGGCUUAACCCUGGAAUUGCUUUUGAAACUACAAGACUCGAAUUCGGGAGAGGAUAGCGGAAUUGUCAGUGUAGCAGUGAAAUGCGUAGAUAUUGACAGGAACACCAGUGGCGCAAGCGGCUAUCUGGACCGAUAUUGACGCUGAGGCACGAAAGCGUGGGGAGCAAACAGGAUUAGAAACCCCGGUAGUCC
RNAcentral lists this ribosomal RNA (425 nucleotides) under uncultured bacterium. Its description in RNAcentral is "partial 16S ribosomal RNA". It matches the Rfam family "Bacterial small subunit ribosomal RNA", at positions 354 to 796 of the family's 1533-position model. The record is from RNAcentral.